AUACCCUGGUAGUCCACGCCGUAAACGAUGAGUGCUAAGUGUUAGGGGGUUUCCGCCCCUUAGUGCUGCAGCUAACGCAUUAAGCACUCCGCCUGGGGAGUACGGUCGCAAGACUGAAACUCAAAGGAAUUGACGGGGGCCCGCACAAGCGGUGGAGCAUGUGGUUUAAUUUGAAGCAACGCGAAGAACCUUACCAGGUCUUGACAUCCUCUGACAAUCCUAGAGAUAGGACGUCCCCUUCGGGGGCAGAGUGACAGGUGGUGCAUGGUUGUCGUCAGCUCGUGUCGUGAGAUGUUGGGUUAAGUCC
This 307-nucleotide ribosomal RNA is filed under the name Bacillus subtilis. RNAcentral describes it as "bacterial SSU rRNA". It matches the Rfam family "Bacterial small subunit ribosomal RNA", at positions 782 to 1087 of the family's 1533-position model. Lineage: Bacteria; Bacillati; Bacillota; Bacilli; Caryophanales; Bacillaceae. The record is from RNAcentral.